Small nucleolar RNA from Grammomys surdaster, 132 nucleotides. RefSeq annotates it as small nucleolar RNA SNORA17. The record is from RefSeq and is a predicted model, not a curated record. NCBI's taxonomy places the organism in Eukaryota, Metazoa, Chordata, Mammalia, Rodentia, Muridae. The transcript has a single exon.
CCUCCCCCUAGAGGCAUUGCGGGUGUGGCUGCUGUAUCACAUGUAUGUCAGUAGGUGGCAGAGAGGAGAGAGGCUAUGUCUAUACUCAGUGUUCUGACCUGUGAACAUCUGAAUGAUGAGUAGCCCAACAUU